UGAGUCUCUCCGUUGAAGAGCCUGAACUUUUAGAGCAAAACUUAUUAUUGGAUAAAUUGACAUUUACUUUUAACAAGCUUAUGGGAGAUGUGCCGGAAAAAAUAUCCGUUGACGAGUACAUGACUCGUCUCACUGAAGUUUAUUCUUACUGCUUUACUAAAGAAGAUGAAAUGGAUGUUCGCUCUUCAAGACAGCAGUAUCUUUAUAUUCUUGUAGAACAAUAUUUUAAAAAAAAUGCAGAGAAGCGCUACAUGGUUCUUAAAAAUAAACAAAGUUUAGAGUUAUUAAGGGAGUAUUCUACUACUUGGGUAAGGUAUAAAACUGCAGCGAAGGUUAUAAAUAGCUUGCUUAAUCAUCUUAAUAGUGCUUAUGUGCUUUACGAAGUAAAGCAAGGAC
Long non-coding RNA from Zophobas morio, 396 nucleotides. RefSeq lists it as uncharacterized. NCBI's taxonomy places the organism in Eukaryota, Metazoa, Arthropoda, Insecta, Coleoptera, Tenebrionidae. The transcript has 4 exons. The record is from RefSeq and is a predicted model, not a curated record.